UACGUAGGUGGCGAGCGUUGUCCGGAUUUAUUGGGUUUAAAGGGUGCGUAGGCGGCUUAUUAAGUCAGUGGUGAAAGACGGCAGCUUAACUGUCGAGGUGCCAUUGAUACUGAUGAGCUAGAGUACUGAUGAGGUAGGCGGAAUGGACGGUGUAGCGGUGAAAUGCAUAGAUAUCGUCCAGAACACCGAUAGCGAAGGCAGCUUACUAAGGAGUAACUGACGCUGAGGCACGAAAGUGUGGGGAUCAAACAGG
RNAcentral lists this ribosomal RNA (253 nucleotides) under uncultured Cesiribacter sp. Its description in RNAcentral is "partial 16S ribosomal RNA". It matches the Rfam family "Bacterial small subunit ribosomal RNA", at positions 524 to 776 of the family's 1533-position model. Lineage: Bacteria; Pseudomonadati; Bacteroidota; Cytophagia; Cytophagales; Cesiribacteraceae. The record is from RNAcentral.